This 397-nucleotide ribosomal RNA is filed under the name uncultured bacterium. RNAcentral's name for it is "partial 16S ribosomal RNA". It matches the Rfam family "Bacterial small subunit ribosomal RNA", at positions 523 to 918 of the family's 1533-position model. The record is from RNAcentral.
AUACGUAGGUGACAAGCGUUAUCCGGAUUUACUGGGCGUAAAGGGCGUGUAGGCGGUCUUGCAAGUCAGAAGUGAAAUUCCUGAGCUCAACUCGGGCGCUGCUUCUGAAACUGCAGGACUUGAGUGCUGGAGGGGAUAGCGGAAUUCCUAGUGGAGCGGUAAAAUGCGCAGAUAUUAGGAAGAACACCGGUGGCGAAGGCGGCUAUCUGGACGGUAACUGACGCUGAGGCGCGAAAGCGUGGGGAGCAAACAGGAUUAGAUACCCUGAUAGUCCACGCCGUAAACGAUGAAUACUAGGUGUAGGGGGUAUCGACUCCCUCUGUGCCUCAGUUAACACAAUAAGUAUUCCGCCUGGGGAGUACGGCCGCAAGGUUGAAACUCAAAGGAAUUGACGGGG